Molecule: ribosomal RNA, 386 nt
Filed under: uncultured Katablepharidophyta
Lineage: Eukaryota; Cryptophyceae; Kathablepharidacea
Description: partial small subunit ribosomal RNA
Rfam family: Eukaryotic small subunit ribosomal RNA
Source: RNAcentral
GCUUGUCUCAAAGAUUAAGCCAUGCAUGUCUAAGUGUAAAUAAGUCUAUACUGUGAAACUGCGAAUGGCUCAUUAAAUCAGUUAUCGUUUAUUUGAUGAUCUCUUACUACUUGGAUAACCGUAGUAAUUCUAGAGCUAAUACAUGCACAAAAUCCCGACUUACGAAGGGAUGUAUUUAUUAGAUACAAACCAACAUCGUGGUGAUUCAUAAUAACUUUGCGAAUCGUAUGCCUCACGGCGACGAUGAAUCAUUCAAAUUUCUGCCCUAUCAACUUUCGAUGUUUGGGUAUUGGCCAAACAUGGUUGCAACGGGUAACGGAGGGUUAGGGCUCGACCCCGGAGAAGGAGCCUGAGAAACGGCUACUACAUCCAAGGAAGGCAGCAGG